GUAGACCCGAAACCGGGCGACCUACCCAUGAGCAGGAUGAAGCGAAAGUAAAAUUUCGUGGAGGUCCGAACCCACGAGCGUUGAAAAGCUCGGGGAUGACUUGUGGAUAGCGGUGAAAUUCCAAUCGAGCCCGGAGAUAGCUGGUUCUCCCCGAAAUAGCUUUAGGGCUAGCCUCAAGGUGAGAGAUACGGAGGUAGAGCACUGAAUGUCCUAGGGGGUAUUGCACCUACCGAAGACUAUCAAACUCCGAAUGCCGUCAUCUUAUACUUGGGAGUCAGACUGUGGGUGAUAAGAUUCAUAGUCGAAAGGGCAACAGCCCAGAUCGUCAGCUAAGGUCCCUAAAUGUAAGUUAAGUGGUAAAGGAUGUGGGAUUGCACAGACAACCAGGAUGUUGGCUUAGAAGCAGCCACUCAUUCAAAGAGUGCGUAAUAGCUCACUGGUCGAGUGAUCCUGCGCCGAAGAUUUCCGGGGCUAAAACUUACUACCGAAGCUACGGCAUCAGUAAUGAUGGGUAGGGGAGCUUCCCAUACGGGUUGAAGCAUGACCGUAAGGACAUGUGGACAGUAUGGGAGUGAGAAUGUUGGCAUGAGUAGCGAGAUGUGGGUGAGAAUCCCACAGGCCGUAAACCCAAGGUUUCCAGGGGAAGGUUCGUCCGCCCUGGGUUAGUCGGGACCUAAGCUGAGGCCGAAAGGCGUAGGUGAUGGACAACAGGUUGAUAUUCCUGUACUACCGAUAACCGUUUGAGAGAAGGGAUGACACAGUAGGAUAAGCUAAGCACACUGUUGGUUAUGUGUGCCCAAGCAUUGAGGCAGUCAAAGUAGGCAAAUCCGCUUUGAUAAUGCUGGGAUGUGAUGGGGAGCGAAAUUUAGUAGCGAAGUAGCUGAUUUCACACUGUCAAGAAAAGUCUCUAUCGAGGUUAAAGGUACCCGUACCGCAAACCGACACAGGUGGGUGAGGAGAGUAUCCUAAGGCCAGCGAGAGAACUGUUGUUAAGGAACUCGGCAAAAUGACCCCGUAACUUAGGGAUAAGGGGUGCCACCAUCAGGUGGCCGCAGAGAAUAGGCCCAAGCGACUGUUUACCAAAAACAUAGGUUUCUGCUAAGUCGCAAGACGAUGUAUAGGAGCUGACGCCUGCCCGGUGCUGGAAGGUUAAGGGGAUCUGUUAGAGCAAUCGAAGCAGUGAACUUAAGCCCCAGUAAACGGCGGCCGUAACUAUAACGGUCCUAAGGUAGCGAAAUUCCUUGUCGGGUAAGUUCCGACCCGCACGAAAGGCGUAACGAUUUGGGCACUGUCUCAACAACAGACUCGGUGAAAUUGUAAUUCCGGUGAAGAUGCCGGAUACCUGCGACAGGACGGAAAGACCCCAUGGAGCUUUACUGUAGCUUGACAUUGGGUCUUGGUACUACAUGUACAGGAUAGGUGGGAGGCUUUGAAACCAGGACGCCAGUUUUGGCGGAGCCAUCCUUGGGAUACCACCCUUGUAGUACUGGGACUCUAACCAUAGGCCAUGAAUCUGGUCUUGGGACACUGUCAGGUGGGCAGUUUGACUGGGGCGGUCGCCUCCCAAAAGGUAACGGAGGCGCUCAAAGGUUCUCUCAGUACGGUCGGAAAU
This 1612-nucleotide ribosomal RNA is filed under the name Clostridioides difficile. RNAcentral's name for it is "bacterial LSU rRNA". It matches the Rfam family "Bacterial large subunit ribosomal RNA", at positions 709 to 2338 of the family's 2925-position model. The record is from RNAcentral. Lineage: Bacteria; Bacillati; Bacillota; Clostridia; Peptostreptococcales; Peptostreptococcaceae.